GACGAACCGUGCGAACGUUAUUCGGAAUCACUGGGCUUAAAGCGCGUGUAGGCGGGAGGGCACGUCCGACGCUGAAAUCCCCCGGCUCAACCGGGGAACUGGCGGGGAUACGACCUUCCUGGAGGAACGUAGGGGGACCUGGAACUUCCGGUGGAGCGGUGAAAUGCGUUGAGAUCGGAAGGAACGCCCGUGGCGAAAGCGAGGUCCUGGACGUUUACUGACGCUGAGACGCGAAAGCCAGGGGAGCGAACGGG
Molecule: ribosomal RNA, 254 nt
Filed under: uncultured Singulisphaera sp.
Lineage: Bacteria; Pseudomonadati; Planctomycetota; Planctomycetia; Isosphaerales; Isosphaeraceae
Description: partial 16S ribosomal RNA
Rfam family: Bacterial small subunit ribosomal RNA
Source: RNAcentral